CGAAGGAACGGUCUUUUACUUUCUGGCGGGCAGCGCUGCGGUGGUAUUAGGGGCUGUGAUGGGAGCCACGUGCCUUCCGUUCUCAUUAUCAGAGGCCUACUUCAAAGGCCGGAGUUGGGAAGAUCGAGGGAAGCGGCCAGGAAUGGAGUUCGGAUGAUAGGCAAGUCCACCCACAGGUUUGGAUGAGAGAGAUUUCUACUCCAAAAUCUAUAUAGCUUGACAAGUGUUGGCUCAAGAUCCAGCACAGUGAAAAAGAGGACUUGGAACUGACUGAAGAGGUUUCCAAAUUCAGUAAACCAGAAACCAAAGGAUAACGUUUUCCCCCCCAGAAAAGGUGGCAACAGAAAGGAGUGUUUUACAACAGUUAUUGAUGAAGCCUGUGUUGGAGCUGAAGAAUACCAAAAUUGUCUCUUGAAACAGCAAGCCAAAUUGCUAAGAGAAAAAUAAUUUGAAAAUGAGGAAUUCUUAAAAGCUUUUUUAUACUGAUGACUAUGGGAUGGUUUCAAAUAAAAUAUAAUUUUAGUAAGUGGCUGUUAUCUGAAAGCAAAGCAGAGGAACUGAACAGUUUCACAUGGAACAUCAGUGGUCAAGUGACAGAAAUGUCUUUGAGUUUCAUUAUAAUUUAAUAAAACAAAUCACGUGAGUUUCUAAUUAUUUCACGGUAUCCAGUGAUUUUUCUGUGAAGAAAAAGCUACUCAAAGACAUUGGAAUACAUUCCAGACCUGAAAACUUUGGGUGUUAAAAUACAUUUGCCUCUUUACAAACCCCCACCUUUGCCACAAUUUGAGAGCAGCAAUGGUGGACUGUCAGUGUUCCUUGCACAUUGUGAGAAAGUAUGGGAAGCAUUGUGUGCUCAUAUUGUUCAGCUGCAAUAGUGUUUACUAUAGGUAAGAUUACAUUUGUUUCUUUGGAUGGGUAGAGUAAUGGUUCUGUUGGCCUAUGUUCUAGCAAAUAAAACAAAUGCUUGGAAUACGGAUGAGCUGGAAGCUAAGACUAAAAGAAUACUGUCCCUUUCCAUCACCCAUCCCAGUGAAGGCUGCCAAAAUGACCUACAUAAUUUGUGUUUGCUUGUUUCAAAGCCAUAAAUGUUUAGGCAACAUGACAGCUUGUUUUCACACUAAUCUGUUGAGGCAACAUGUUUGCAGAUGUCUGUGCAGUCAAGUGGAAUUUUAAAAAGCACUUGAGUGAGAAUGAAGAGCUUGUGACAAAAUGGGGCCUGGGGCAACAUGUCUCCAGCUAUUAUCAGGCAAUUCCAUUGUUAUGCCUGGUGCUCUCACAGGAAUAACAAAAAAAAAUUGGGCGAUUUUCCCUCCUACAGGAACAUUCAUUAGAUGGUUGGCGGGUGCAUUGAUGUUCACUUUUUGAAAUAGUUUCUGAAUACAAUUUCUAACUACUUUUUUCCUUCUCAAAUGAUCUAAUGUAAAAAAAAAAUUCUAGAAGGAAGGCAAAGCAACAAACACUAGCAAAGAAUGCUAAGGAGCCACAGUGGUUUCCUAUGAGUCCUUGGAGAAGGUCACAGCACCCACCUCUGCUGAACAAAUACAAGGAUGCCAUCCUGGUCCUGAACCAGUGCCUGUCAUCAGUAAUGGACUGGAUUAAGGCCAGCAAAUUGAAGUUAAAUCCAGACAAAAUAGGUACUCCUGGUCAGUUGUAAGGCAAAUCAGGGUGUGGGAUUACAGCCUGUGUUGGACAGAGUCACACUCCCCCUGAAGGUGCAGGUUUACAGAGUGCUUUUGGAUUCAGCGGUGGCCUGGAAUGCCUUUGCACAAUUAAAACUUGUGUGCCAGUUGCGCCUGUACCUCAAGAUGCCAGACCUGGCCAUGGUUGUCCAUGCUUUAGUCACAUCCCGCCUGGACUACUGCAAUGCUUGCUACAUGGUGCUGCCUUUGAAGAUAGUUUAGAAGCUUCGACUGGUUCAAAGAUCGGCAGCCAGAUUUGUUAAUGUGGGGUUUGUGUAUUGAUAGUGUUUAAAUGGAAUUUGUGUCUUGCAUGUAUUGCAUACUGAUUGCAUCAUCCAGAGUGUACUAUAGUCUGGAAAGAGUUAAUUGGCAAGAAGCUGUGAUGACCUUGAUAUGUGGCUGGAGCUGGGGAGUGUCCAGACACAAGUGUGUAUGUAUUACUGAUUGCAUCUGUUCUGUUCUGCUAUCUGCUGAGAAGUCAAGUCCUGUGUCCAUUGUCUUCAAGUCUGUUUGUCUUUAUUACGGCUUUCAGUAAAACUUGUAUAUAGUUUAA
Molecule: long non-coding RNA, 2232 nt
Organism: Anolis carolinensis (green anole)
Lineage: Eukaryota; Metazoa; Chordata; Lepidosauria; Squamata; Anolidae
Exons: 4
Source: RefSeq, a predicted model, not a curated record